Pelobates cultripes (western spadefoot toad) is the source of this 85-nucleotide non-coding RNA. The record is from the annotation of a GenBank genome assembly. Lineage: Eukaryota; Metazoa; Chordata; Amphibia; Anura; Pelobatidae.
GUGUGUGUAUAUAAUGCAGUGUGUUUGUGUAGUGUGCAUUAUAUAAACACACUACACAAACACACUGCAUUAUAUACACACACAC